UACGGGAGGCAGCAGUGGGGAAUAUUGCACAAUGGGCGCAAGCCUGAUGCAGCCAUGCCGCGUGUAUGAAGAAGGCCUUCGGGUUGUAAAGUACUUUCAGCGGGGAGGAAGGCGGUGAAGUUAAUAGCUUCACCGAUUGACGUUACCCGCAGAAGAAGCACCGGCUAACUCCGUGCCAGCAGCCGCGGUAAUACGGAGGGUGCAAGCGUUAAUCGGAAUUACUGGGCGUAAAGCGCACGCAGGCGGUCUGUCAAGUCGGAUGUGAAAUCCCCGGGCUUAACCUGGGAACUGCAUUCGAAACUGGCAGGCUAGAGUCUUGUAGAGGGGGUAGAAUUCCAGGUGUAGCGGUGAAAUGCGUAGAGAUCUGGAGGAAUACCGGUGGCGAAGGCGGCCCCUGGGACAAAGCUGACGCUCAGGGUGCGAAAGCGUGGGGAGCGAAACAGGAUUAGGAUACC
This 455-nucleotide ribosomal RNA is filed under the name uncultured bacterium. RNAcentral describes it as "bacterial SSU rRNA". It matches the Rfam family "Bacterial small subunit ribosomal RNA", at positions 340 to 786 of the family's 1533-position model. The record is from RNAcentral.